GAAGUACACCUAGGUUGUUUCCACAGCUCAGCUAUUGUGAGUUGAUGAGCCAAAAAGUUUUGUUGUGUAACAAAUGACCUCAUGUAAUGCCACAUGUAUAUUUAUUUGUUUUUUCAUGCAUAAUAAUAUAUUUCUUAAAAACUGGCCUCUGUGCUUGCCAUGACAAAGAGAAAGUAAGAUUCUUGGGGGAUCAGGGUGAAAAUUUUUUUUAUUCAAUAAAAAUAUGAGUAGCUAAUUUUUUGUUUUUGCAAAUAUAAAAAAGGAUCUUAUAAGAUGACCAAUUUUUUUGAUAUGUCACAGUUUUGUAAGAGGACAAAAGGCACAUUUAAAUAAAUAAUCACAGGACCCUGUGACAGGGCUGGAGCACAGCUACACAGGGACUGCAGCACUAGCUGGCAGCCCGACUGAGGAGGGCACAACGGGAAUGUGACCAGCAUUUUCUGUGUGUGGACAUGCACUGAUCCAUCAGUGGUCACCUUGCACUCUAUUUAAUCUCCCUCGUAUGUCUAUAUUCUCACCACUGUUCACAGUUCCUAAGAAUAUUUUUAAUAUCCUCCAAAAACAAUAAUUCCCAAGACCCGUUUCUGAAACUCUCAUAUACAUUUUUCUAUAUUUACUUACUUUUUUUUUGCAUUUUUCUCCCUGUCUCUGUAGGUGCAUUACAGAAGUAUAUAUGGUGGAAUUCGUUGCUACGUAUUCAUAGGCGCACACAGGUAUUGAUAUAA
This 725-nucleotide long non-coding RNA is filed under the name Marmota monax (woodchuck). The record is from RNAcentral. Lineage: Eukaryota; Metazoa; Chordata; Mammalia; Rodentia; Sciuridae.